RNAcentral lists this ribosomal RNA (465 nucleotides) under Vreelandella stevensii. RNAcentral's name for it is "partial 16S ribosomal RNA". It matches the Rfam family "Bacterial small subunit ribosomal RNA", at positions 338 to 795 of the family's 1533-position model. The record is from RNAcentral. Lineage: Bacteria; Pseudomonadati; Pseudomonadota; Gammaproteobacteria; Oceanospirillales; Halomonadaceae.
CCUACGGGGGGCUGCAGUGGGGAAUAUUGGACAAUGGGCGAAAGCCUGAUCCAGCCAUGCCGCGUGUGUGAAGAAGGCCUUCGGGUUGUAAAGCACUUUCAGUGGGGAAGAAAGCCUUGGGGCUAAUACCCUCGAGGAAGGACAUCACCCACAGAAGAAGCACCGGCUAACUCCGUGCCAGCAGCCGCGGUAAUACGGAGGGUGCGAGCGUUAAUCGGAAUUACUGGGCGCAAAGCGCGCGUAGGCGGUCUGAUAAGCCGGUUGUGAAAGCCCCGGGCUCAACCUGGGAACGGCAUCCGGAACUGUCAGGCUAGAGUGCAGGAGAGGAAGGUAGAAUUCCCGGUGUAGCGGUGAAAUGCGUAGAGAUCGGGAGGAAUACCAGUGGCGAAGGCGGCCUUCUGGACUGACACUGACGCUGAGGUGCGAAAGCGUGGGUAGCAAACAGGAUUAGAUACCCGAGUAGUC